RNAcentral lists this long non-coding RNA (356 nucleotides) under Musa acuminata (dwarf banana). RNAcentral's name for it is "long non-coding RNA (MACU_LNC004338)". Lineage: Eukaryota; Viridiplantae; Streptophyta; Magnoliopsida; Zingiberales; Musaceae. The record is from RNAcentral.
CAAGCUGCAAGUUUAUAAUUAACCCUCUAUCCUCAGAUGAAGUUCCCAACUUAAAAAGCAAGCCAUUGUACAUUUGUAACAACCUUCCAUUAAAAUGAAAUGUCCAUCAUUUAGCUUAAACACACUAUUAUCAAAAAGUUAAGGUGACGAGAAGGCUAAAAUGAAAUGUCCAUCAGUUAGCUUAAACACACUAUUAUCAAAAAGUUAAGGUGACGAGAAGGAUGACGAUGACGACGACAAGAAUAAAAAGAAAGAAAUAAAGAAGGAAAGAAAGAGAGACAAAGAAUAUUAGUUUGGCUCACAAGUCAAAGGAUCUGAAAGUUACAGAUUUCAUGCAUCAAUGGUGAAACUGACAG